This is a long non-coding RNA of Drosophila innubila, 458 nucleotides long. RefSeq lists it as uncharacterized. The transcript has 2 exons. Lineage: Eukaryota; Metazoa; Arthropoda; Insecta; Diptera; Drosophilidae. The record is from RefSeq and is a predicted model, not a curated record.
UUCAAAUUCCAAAGAUGAUUUUCCAAAAUGUUUUAUAUCCAAUUCACUCAGAUGCGAUUGAAAGAAAAUAAUUCAAAAUGUAAGAAGUUUUGGAAAAGUUUUUCAUCGCCAACUCAUUCCGCCAAAGACGGUGACACAAAAUGGGAUUAUCAUGACCACACAACUGAUUGAACUUGUCAAAAUUAAAGAGUUUCCUAAAUUGUUACAUUUCCAACUCAUUCCCCAGAAGAUUAAAAUAGAAUACAAAUCUUGGCAGCUGAAGAGACUAGUAGAAAACCCACAAAGUAAAGAAAAAAACAAAAAAUUAUUCAAGAAAGCUGUAGAAGGAAGAUUUUAUCAAUGUUUUAGUUGCCAAUUGUUCCAAAAUAGAUGGAACAGAUAAUUAAGAACGUUUUCAAGAUGAAGGAACUGCAUAUAAAUUGUUAUUGUGAUAAAAAAUUAGAUGUGUAUAAAAUUAA